CACGUAGUUAGCCGGUGCUUUUUCUGCAGGUACCGUCACUUUCGCUUCUUCCCUGCUAAAAGAGGUUUACAACCCGAAGGCCGUCGUCCCUCACGCGGCGUUGCUGCAUCAGGCUUUCGCCCAUUGUGCAAUAUUCCCCACUGCUGCCUCCCGUAGGAGUCUGGGCCGUGUCUUAGUCCCAGUGUGGCCGGUCACCCUCUCAGGCCGGCUACCCGUCGUCGCCUUGGUGAGCCAUUACCUCACCAACAAGCUGAUAGGCCGCGAGUCCAUCCUUGACCAAAAUUCUUUCCACAACCAGACGAUGCCGUCGGUUGUCAUAUCCGGUAUUAGACGCCGUUUCCAGCGCUUAUCCCAGAGUCAAGGGCAGGUUACUCACGUGUUACUCACCCGUUCGCCACUAAUCCACCCAGCAAGCUGGGCUUCAUCGUUCGACUUGCAUGUGUUAAGCACGCCGCCAGCGUUCGUCCUGAGCCAGGAUCAAACUCU
Molecule: ribosomal RNA, 486 nt
Filed under: uncultured Microbacteriaceae bacterium
Lineage: Bacteria; Bacillati; Actinomycetota; Actinomycetes; Micrococcales; Microbacteriaceae
Description: partial 16S ribosomal RNA
Source: RNAcentral